AAUGCUCCUUCAGUUUACUUAUUCCACCACCAAGUUCAGUACAUAUGCAUUUUUGAGUCUGAACUUUCCACUCUAGUACCUCCUAUUGCACUUACAGAAGAAGCAGAAACUUUACCUAACCAAACUACAAGACCUCACCACACCUUAUUACAGAAACUAAGUAGACACUGAUCAGUAACUAGUAGUACUAUAACUGCGUAUAUAUUUAUCCUAGAGAUACCAUUAGGUCAGGGGGGCAAAAUUUGCGUGCAUAUAUCUGCACGCUGUGGACACGUAGAUACACAUACGGCUACAACGAAAAGAAUCGCACCUACUAUCAACUUCCUUGUGUCCUGUCUGUCAUCAUGCUUCGGCAGAUGCAGAUGCUGCUAAUGCUAGAGCCUUGAAGAACGUACUGACAGAGAGCUGAGAGCAUCAGUGCUUGAGUUCUCAAUGUCUUCAUGCUUCGAUGGAUGUAUGUUGCUGGUGUUGAUAUGAUGUUGGUGCUGGAGCCUGAAUACUCGACUUUGAGCUCAAAGCAUCUUGUCGGCUUUCUGAAAUCUGCCUGGGCCCUAUACUACUAGCUGAAUCAGUUGUGCUUGGGCACGCGGCGGUGCCAUGGAGCGUAGUCCAUGGUCAUGUAUGAUCUCAGCUGAUUCCUCUCCUCCACCCACUGCUGCGCGUGUUGCCUUCUGUCAUGCAGCCUAAUAGCACCUUCAGAACCGAAAAGAAAAAACUUUCAGGACUCAGUCAUCAUCACUAAACAGUGAACAUUCAGACGGAUGAGGUUGCAGCAGUGAAAGAUGAGAGACUAAUAAUAUAGUAGUAGCAGCAGCAGCAUUUGCAGCAAAUAUAUGAACAAAGCCAUAUAACAACAAGAUGACUCACCAACGCCUGCUUGUUGAUGCAGCGACGAACUGAAGACUACCAAGAGCACCAGAGCGACCAGCCUCACAAUCCCAAGCGACACCAUGCUGCUCUCUCACCACCUCACCUGUGUUC
This 981-nucleotide long non-coding RNA is filed under the name Sorghum bicolor (sorghum). RNAcentral describes it as "long non-coding RNA (SBIC_LNC011293)". The record is from RNAcentral. Lineage: Eukaryota; Viridiplantae; Streptophyta; Magnoliopsida; Poales; Poaceae.